GGACUCGCUUCAGCAGUGCAAAUACUAAAAUUGGAACAAUACAGAGAAGAUAAGCAUGGUCCCUGUGCAAGGAUGACACACCAAUUCAUGAAGCAUUCUAUAAAUUA
This is a small nuclear RNA of Pteronotus mesoamericanus, 107 nucleotides long. The record is from RefSeq and is a predicted model, not a curated record. NCBI's taxonomy places the organism in Eukaryota, Metazoa, Chordata, Mammalia, Chiroptera, Mormoopidae.